Molecule: ribosomal RNA, 229 nt
Filed under: uncultured bacterium
Lineage: Bacteria
Description: partial 16S ribosomal RNA
Rfam family: Bacterial small subunit ribosomal RNA
Source: RNAcentral
UAACACGUGGGUAACCUACCUAGAUGACCGGGACAACCCGAGGAAACUCGGGCUAAUACCGGAUGUGCUCCUUCCCUUCAAGGGGAUUGAGGAAAGAUAGCUUCGGCCUUCGCAUCUAGAUGGGCCCGCGGCCCAUUAGCUUGUUGGUGAGGUAACGGCUCACCAAGGCUUCGAUGGGUAGCUGGUCUGAGAGGACGAUCAGCCACACUGGGACUGAGACACGGCCCAG